AGAGUUUUGCGAUCCUGGCUCAGGAUGAACGCUAGCGGCAGGCUUAACACAUGCAAGUCGAGGGGUAACAGGGAUUGCUUGCAAUCCGCUGACGACCGGCGCACAGGUGCGUAACGCGUAUGCAACCUACCUUUUACAGUCAGGGGAUAGUCAAUAGAAAUGUUGAAUAAUACCCCAUACGAUCAUUAAUCUGCAUGGAUUGAUGAAGAAAGUUCCGGCGGUAGAAGAUGGGCAUGCGUCCUAUUAGUUAGUUGGUAAGGUAACGGCUUACCCUCAAGACAUCGAUAGGUAGGGGUCCUGAGAGGGAGAUCCCCCACACUGGUACUGAGACACGGACCAGACUCCUACGGGAGGCAGCAGUGAGGAAUAUUGGGCAAUGGAGGCAACUCUGACCCAGCCAUGCAGGCGCGUGCAGGAAGACUGCCCUAUGGGUUGUAAACUGCUUUUAUACAGGAAGAAACACACCUACGUGUAGGUGCUUGACGGUACUGUAAGAAUAAGCACCGGCUAACUCCGUGCCAGCAGCCGCGGUAAU
RNAcentral lists this ribosomal RNA (535 nucleotides) under uncultured bacterium. RNAcentral's name for it is "bacterial SSU rRNA". It matches the Rfam family "Bacterial small subunit ribosomal RNA", at positions 8 to 524 of the family's 1533-position model. The record is from RNAcentral.